AGCGAGAGAGAGAGAGAGAGAGAGAGAGAGAGAGAGAGAGAAAAAAAGAGAGAGAGAGAGAGAGAGAGAGAUAUUUGAUUUAUUAGAGAAUAUUCGUUUGAUAUAUUUAGGGAAAUUUGUUGCAUUUAGAAAAUGAUAAUUAGCGUGCCUUUUUUAGGUUGAAAAAAAAAAUGUAGAAAUAUAUAAUACUAUAUUGAGAUAAUCGUUGGUGUUUAUUGAUAGUAGAUAAAGAAUAAUACGUUGGUAUAAUAUAUGAUAGGGAUUAAGUUUUCUUCAUUAGGACGAAGAAUUGAAAAUAGAUUAAGAAAGUCUGCUGUGAUUUGAUAAUACGUGAAUAUUUUAUCAGAUACGGAUGAUAGUUCAUUUCGUUUCAUUCGAUUAAGAAAUUUAACGGUUAUUUCGUAAUUAUAUAUAAUGAAGUGUUAUAUAUAACGGACAAUUUUAACGAAACCAAGUGGCAAUUAGCUGCUUAACUUCUUGUGUUGGAAAUAUUAAAAGAAUAUAUUUGAGAAAAGAAAGAAGAAAAA
Molecule: long non-coding RNA, 527 nt
Organism: Apis dorsata (giant honeybee)
Lineage: Eukaryota; Metazoa; Arthropoda; Insecta; Hymenoptera; Apidae
Exons: 2
Source: RefSeq, a predicted model, not a curated record